GCCUUCUUAUCUCAGUCGGUAGAGCGCCAGCCUUUCAAGCUGGUGGUCAGGGGUUCGAGCCCCCUACGAGACU
This 73-nucleotide transfer RNA is filed under the name Besnoitia besnoiti. It matches the Rfam family "tRNA". From Rfam's summary of the family: Transfer RNA (tRNA) molecules are approximately 80 nucleotides in length. Their secondary structure includes four short double-helical elements and three loops (D, anti-codon, and T loops). Lineage: Eukaryota; Apicomplexa; Conoidasida; Eucoccidiorida; Sarcocystidae. The record is from Rfam by way of RNAcentral.